CUACGGGUCGCUCCAGUGGGGAAUAUUGCGCAAUGGGCGAAAGCCUGACGCAGCAACGCCGUGUGAGGGAUGAAGGCUUUCGGGUCGUAAACCUCUGUCGGAAGGGAAGAACGGGCAUUGGUCUAAUAGGCCUUUGUUUUGACGGUACCUUUAGAGGAAGCACCGGCUAACUCCGUGCCAGCAGCCGCGGUAAUACGGAGGGUGCAAGCGUUAUUCGGAAUUACUGGGCGUAAAGCGCACGUAGGCGGCCUUGUAAGUCAGGGGUGAAAUCCCACGGCUCAACCGUGGAACUGCCUUUGAAACUGCAGGGCUCGAAUCCUGGAGAGGGUGGCGGAAUUCCUGGUGUAGGAGUGAAAUCCGUAGAUAUCAGGAGGAACACCGGUGGCGAAGGCGGCCACCUGGACAGGUAUUGACGCUGAGGUGCGAAAGUGUGGGGAGCAAACAGGAUUAGAUACCCCAGUAGUC
This 465-nucleotide ribosomal RNA is filed under the name uncultured bacterium. RNAcentral describes it as "partial 16S ribosomal RNA". It matches the Rfam family "Bacterial small subunit ribosomal RNA", at positions 339 to 795 of the family's 1533-position model. The record is from RNAcentral.